RNAcentral lists this ribosomal RNA (1014 nucleotides) under Triticum aestivum (bread wheat). Its description in RNAcentral is "partial small subunit ribosomal RNA". Lineage: Eukaryota; Viridiplantae; Streptophyta; Magnoliopsida; Poales; Poaceae. The record is from RNAcentral.
AUGCCUUCGAUGUUCUGGGCAGAGGCACUCCACACGGCCACAUAUUUACUCAAUAUUCGUUCAUCUAAAGUUAACCCACAAACUACUCCUUACUUCUCUUUAUUUCUCUCUCAUCCAAAUUACUCCGACGUUCGCGUCUUCGAUUGUCUUUGUUUCCCAAACUCCUACUCCACUUCUCCUAACAAACUUUCCACACGCUCUAUCCCGUGUGUCCAUCUAGGUUUUUGUGACGAGCACAAGGGUUAUCAUUGUCUAGAUCUUGUUAGUGGUCGUGUUCAUGUGUCUCGUCAUAUAACAUUUGCUGAAAACAUUUUUACCUUUUCCGAGCAUCAACAAUUAGAUCCCAACUCAUCCACGCCGUCCACUAGUCCCUCUCCUCGGAAUCAUCUUCCCUUCUUUCACCCGCUGACCUAUCCAGCGAAACCAGCCGCAGUAGCGGAUCCUGCCCCCGCCACUUCUGUCACCACCUCUGUCCUGGCAGAGGAAAACACGUUACACUCUGACGCGGCAGACCUCCUGCCGCCGCAGUCUUCACCGCCAUCUCCCGCGUCCGCUUCCUCCGUUGUGUCGGACGCGUUCACCAUAUCUUCCCCCACCCCUCCUGCUCAUGCUAUUCCCGUUUCAGCUCCUACUAACGAUCAUACCAUGUGCACACGUGCCAAGUCCGGGUUUCGUUUACCUGCAAAAGAUCGUCUUAAUCUUCAUGCAUCUUUAUCUCCUUCCUCUCUACCCAAAUCUUACAAAUCAGCUCUCCUAGAUCUUGAUUGGGCCGUAGCUAUGAAAGAUGGAUAUGAUGCCCUCCUGCAGAAUAACACGUGGCAGUUAGUUCCUCAUCCUUCCAAUACAAAUAUCGUUUCGGGAAAAUGGGUUUUUCGCCAUAAAUUUAAUUCUGAUGGGAGUCUUGCACGUUAUAAGGCUCUAUGGGUGUGCCGUGAUCACUCUCAGCAACACGGUAUCGAUUAUGAUGUGACUUUCUCUCCAGUUGUCAAGCCCAACACUAUUCGCAGUCCUUAG